This is a long non-coding RNA of Phascolarctos cinereus (koala), 441 nucleotides long. Lineage: Eukaryota; Metazoa; Chordata; Mammalia; Diprotodontia; Phascolarctidae. The record is from Ensembl.
GUUUCCAUUUAGAAGAAGUAGCCAUAUUUGAUGACAAAUACAUCCGGACUUUGUUUUGUAGGUUCCACAUAAAAGCACCAAUACCCCCAAAUCUACAGCUGUUCUCCAAACCUUUAGAUGCCCAUUGAAUGCCAGAAGGUCUGCUGGGGGAAGAGCUGCUAAGCUGACUGUGGCUGUGGUGGAGAAACUGGAUGAGAAACAUCCUAAGGCCUCUGCUCAAAGGUGGGCCAUCAAUCAUGGAGGGACAACAAGCCAAACCAGUGGGAGCAUUCCAGAGUUGGGGAUCCCUUAUGGAAUAAGCUUACAUAUAUGUGAGCAGUCCUUAGUCAACGGAGAACUCGAUGAGGCAUAUGUGUCCUGUGAAGAAUAGCGGAACAACCCUAAAGUGAUCAUCACUGAACAGAAAAAAAGCAACUCCUCCUCAAUCAUUUAUCCUCAGAA